ACAAUAUAUUUGUCAGCUGCAUCUGCAGCAGCAUCAAUUGUCCAGGAGGGGGCAGUAAAGACCGAAGGAGGCAGUGAGGAGGAGGAGGAGGAGGAGGAGGAGGAGGAGGAGGAGGAGGAGAAAGCUGCUGAAGAAGAUACAUCUGAGGAUGCUGAGACAGAGAAAACAGGUGAGUUUGACUGUGAAAAAUGAGCCGGAUUAGAAAGAUCUAAAUUUAAUCUGUCGUCAAUUUAGACUUUCUUUUAUGGGUUAGUUGUAGUUGGGAACAGAGCUGAGGUUUGAUCUUUGACCUCUCUCCACACUCGUUCACCUGCUGGUGCAGGUGAGUCUGCAGGUCAGGGGGAGGAGGAGGAGGAGGAGGAGGAGGAGGAGGAGGAGGAGGGAGGAGACCAUGAGCCAACAGCUGAACUAAAGAAGAGUGUGGAGGAGCAAGAAGAUGAAAGAGAGGAGGAGGACGAUGAAGACGAGCAGGACGAGAAGGCGAAGGUGGACGUGACCAAAGCUGUGGACGAUGCGGCGAGCGCACCUGAAGUGCCAGAGUGUCCCUGCCGUCAUUCUGCUCCUGUCAGCCAGACCGACACCAAGACUGCAGACCCCAAAGGUCUGUGCCCCUCCCCCGAUGUCUGAAACAGUCAGUAACUGGUUUAUCCAGGUGGGAGGUCAGUGAACGUCUGUGUUUGCAGCUGCUCCUAGGAGAGUCACAGCAGUGAGGAGGAAAAAAGGUGAGGAUUCAUCCAUCCCGCAUCCAGAACCUCUGUAGAACCCACAGUCUGACCCCCAAGCAGCAGCGGCUCCAUUAACAGGAGGAACUCCUGAGCAGGACCACUCCUGCUGAAGGAUAGCUAACCUCAAGGAGAAAACUCCCACAGACUCUUUAGGAAGAAACCUUUACGUCCAGUUUGAUCGAAAAGUCUGAUUUUGUGUUUCUGCUGUUUGUGUAGUUUCAGACCCGGAAGCUGUGAAGACGGAAGAAAAGCCCAGAAGGAUGGGUAACGGAACUUUCAGAAGCUGACCUCCAACCCUUGUGGUUAUAAUAUAGUCAAAGAUGUUGUUUUUUCCAGGUCUCCCCAGAUUUCCAGGUAUGGGGCCAAAAGUCAGGAGGGUGAGAAGAGUCCCAACGAUCCUUAAAGGUAAAUGUGAGCAAACCGGGUCAAACCCAGGCUGGCAUGUAGACAGCAGAACCUAAACCGAGUUAAUGAGUUCCCAUUAUUCUGAUGUUCGUCUGGUCUAAUCUCACCUUCACACCUUCGACCUUCAUAUUUCACAGCCAAAAAAGCUGAAAGAGCCAAAAGUCCAAAAACGGGUAAGUGAACAACGAGCUUCGGAGGAGCCAGGAAACAUCUGGAGAUGUUGUUUGUUUACCGGCUCGUUUCUCUUCAGCAGAGACGGACAACACAAACCGGGCCGAGGCUCCAGAAUCUGAAGGUACUGUUUCAAACAGAGCACAGUUCAGAAUCAUCAAUUUCUUUCCUCUAAAACCUGAACUUGUCCCUCUGGUGCGACCCCACUCGGACCCCCAUCUCAGUGGGCCCCUGCAGACCGGCACCGGUCUACUGCCCGUCUCCGCCCGGUUGGUACGGUAAGUAGCAGAUUCUGCUGGGGAAAUCUGUCUGGGAAGUGCAGAGAGGCUGAUCCAAUUCACCUGUUCCAGUUCACCACGUGGUCACAGACA
Molecule: long non-coding RNA, 1672 nt
Organism: Takifugu rubripes (torafugu)
Lineage: Eukaryota; Metazoa; Chordata; Actinopteri; Tetraodontiformes; Tetraodontidae
Source: Ensembl